RNAcentral lists this ribosomal RNA (518 nucleotides) under Halobacillus kuroshimensis. RNAcentral's name for it is "bacterial SSU rRNA". It matches the Rfam family "Bacterial small subunit ribosomal RNA", at positions 409 to 917 of the family's 1533-position model. The record is from RNAcentral. Lineage: Bacteria; Bacillati; Bacillota; Bacilli; Caryophanales; Bacillaceae.
UGAAGGUCUUCGGAUCGUAAAGUUCUGUUGUCAGGGAAGAACAAGUACCGUGCGAAUAGAGCGGUACCUUGACGGUACCUGACGAGGAAGCCCCGGCUAACUACGUGCCAGCAGCCGCGGUAAUACGUAGGGGGCAAGCGUUGUCCGGAAUUAUUGGGCGUAAAGCGCGCGCAGGCGGUUCCUUAAGUCUGAUGUGAAAGCCCACGGCUCAACCGUGGAGGGUCAUUGGAAACUGGGGAACUUGAGGACAGAAGAGGAGAGUGGAAUUCCACGUGUAGCGGUGAAAUGCGUAGAUAUGUGGAGGAACACCAGUGGCGAAGGCGACUCUCUGGUCUGUUUCUGACGCUGAGGUGCGAAAGCGUGGGUAGCAAACAGGAUUAGAUACCCUGGUAGUCCACGCCGUAAACGAUGAGUGCUAGGUGUUAGGGGGCUUCCACCCCUUAGUGCUGAAGUUAACGCAUUAAGCACUCCGCCUGGGGAGUACGGCCGCAAGGCUGAAACUUAAAGGAAUUGACGGA